CAACAUCACGCUCUUCCGCGGCCUCCUCUACUGGGUCGCGCAGCUGCUGGGCUCGACCGCGGCGUGCUUCCUGCUCCGCUUCUCCACGGGCGGGCUCCCCACGGGCACCUUCGGCCUGACCGGAGUCUCCGUGUGGGAGGCGCUGGUGCUGGAGAUCGUCAUGACCUUCGGCCUCGUCUACACCGUGUACGCCACCGCCGUCGACCCCAAGAAGGGCAGCAUCGGCACCAUCGCGCCGCUCGCGAUUGGGUUCAUUGUGGGAGCCAACAUCCUUGUUGGUGGCGCGUUUGAUGGCGCUUCCAUGAACCCGGCUGUUUCCUUUGGCCCGGCGUUGGUUAGCUGGGAAUGGGGGUACCAGUGGGUGUACUGGGUUGGCCCCCUCAUCGGCGGUGGCCUUGCUGGGGUGAUUUACGAGGUGCUCUUCAUCUCCCACACCCAUGAGCAGCUCCCCACCACCGACUACUAAGCAGAUCGAUGCAAGCUGCUUCUGCUUCCGAGUUCGUUCGGCCGGCGUCAAUGCCCUCCGUUUCGUCGUCUCAUCGUUUAGUUUCGUGAACCCAUGUCCGACUGCUGCUGCUUCGCGGCCAGCGUCGUUUG
This 597-nucleotide long non-coding RNA is filed under the name Brachypodium distachyon (stiff brome). RNAcentral's name for it is "long non-coding RNA (BDIS_LNC001488)". Lineage: Eukaryota; Viridiplantae; Streptophyta; Magnoliopsida; Poales; Poaceae. The record is from RNAcentral.